UACGAAGGGGGCUAGCGUUGCUCGGAAUUACUGGGCGUAAAGGGCGCGUAGGCGGACAGUUUAGUCAGAGGUGAAAGCCCAGGGCUCAACCUUGGAAUUGCCUUUGAUACUGGCUGUCUUGAGUUCGGGAGAGGUGAGUGGAAUGCCGAGUGCAGAGGUGAAAUUCGUAGAUAUUCGGCGGAACACCAGUGGCGAAGGCGACUCACUGGCCCGAUACUGACGCUGAGGUGCGAAAGCGUGGGGAGCAAACAGG
This 253-nucleotide ribosomal RNA is filed under the name uncultured bacterium. RNAcentral describes it as "partial 16S ribosomal RNA". It matches the Rfam family "Bacterial small subunit ribosomal RNA", at positions 524 to 776 of the family's 1533-position model. The record is from RNAcentral.